RNAcentral lists this ribosomal RNA (617 nucleotides) under uncultured bacterium. RNAcentral's name for it is "bacterial SSU rRNA". It matches the Rfam family "Bacterial small subunit ribosomal RNA", at positions 338 to 947 of the family's 1533-position model. The record is from RNAcentral.
CCUACGGGAGGCAGCAGUGGGGAAUUUUGGACAAUGGGCGCAAGCCUGAUCCAGCCAUGCCGCGUGCGGGAAGAAGGCCUUCGGGUUGUAAACCGCUUUUGUCAGGGAAGAAAAGGUUCUGGUUAAUACCUGGGACUCAUGACGGUACCUGAAGAAUAAGCACCGGCUAACUACGUGCCAGCAGCCGCGGUAAUACGUAGGGUGCAAGCGUUAAUCGGAAUUACUGGGCGUAAAGCGUGCGCAGGCGGUUAUGCAAGACAGAGGUGAAAUCCCCGGGCUCAACCUGGGAACUGCCUUUGUGACUGCAUAGCUAGAGUGCGGCAGAGGGGGAUGGAAUUCCGCGUGUAGCAGUGAAAUGCGUAGAUAUGCGGAGGAACACCGAUGGCGAAGGCAAUCCCCUGGGCCUGCACUGACGCUCAUGCACGAAAGCGUGGGGAGCAAACAGGAUUAGAUACCCUGGUAGUCCACGCCCUAAACGAUGUCAACUGGUUGUUGGGAGGGUUUCUUCUCAGUAACGUAGCUAACGCGUGAAGUUGACCGCCUGGGGAGUACGGCCGCAAGGUUGAAACUCAAAUGAAUUGACCGGNUGAGAGNGCGAGCGACGACGAGGGAGGAGG